Molecule: signal recognition particle RNA, 296 nt
Filed under: Macaca fascicularis (crab-eating macaque)
Lineage: Eukaryota; Metazoa; Chordata; Mammalia; Primates; Cercopithecidae
Description: Metazoan signal recognition particle RNA (ENSMFAG00000051660.1)
Rfam family: Metazoan signal recognition particle RNA
About the family: The signal recognition particle (SRP) is a universally conserved ribonucleoprotein. It is involved in the co-translational targeting of proteins to membranes.
Source: Rfam by way of RNAcentral
GACGGGCGCCGUGGCUGGUGUCUGUAGUUCCAGCUACUCUGGAGGCUGAGGCAGGAGGAUUGCUUGAGCUGGGAGUUCUGGGCUGCAGUGCACUCUGCCAACUGGGUGUCUUCACUAAGUUUGACAUCAAUAUGGUGACCUCCUGGGUGCAGGGGACCAUCAGGUUGCCUAAGGAGGGGUGAACCAGCCCAGGUUGGAAACGGAGCAAGUCAAAAGUCCUGUGCUGAUCAGUAGUGGGACUGUGCUGUGAAUUGCCACUGUUUCCAGCCUGGCAACAUAGCAAGACCCCAUCUCUA